Molecule: ribosomal RNA, 2354 nt
Filed under: Salmonella enterica
Lineage: Bacteria; Pseudomonadati; Pseudomonadota; Gammaproteobacteria; Enterobacterales; Enterobacteriaceae
Description: partial 23S ribosomal RNA
Rfam family: Bacterial large subunit ribosomal RNA
Source: RNAcentral
UAUAAUGGGUCAGCGACUUAUAUUCUGUAGCAAGGUUAACCGCAUAGGGGAGCCGAAGGGAAACCGAGUCUUAACCGGGCGUUAAGUUGCAGGGUAUAGACCCGAAACCCGGUGAUCUAGCCAUGGGCAGGUUGAAGGUUGGGUAACACUAACUGGAGGACCGAACCGACUAAUGUUGAAAAAUUAGCGGAUGACCUGUGGCUGGGGGUGAAAGGCCAAUCAAACCGGGAGAUAGCUGGUUCUCCCCGAAAGCUAUUUAGGUAGCGCCUCGUGAAUUCAUCUCCGGGGGUAGAGCACUGUUUCGGCUAGGGGGCCAUCCCGGCUUACCAACCCGAUGCAAACUGCGAAUACCGGAGAAUGUUAUCACGGGAGACACACGGCGGGUGCUAACGUCCGUCGUGAAGAGGGAAACAACCCAGACCGCCAGCUAAGGUCCCAAAGUCAUGGUUAAGUGGGAAACGAUGUGGGAAGGCCCAGACAGCCAGGAUGUUGGCUUAGAAGCAGCCAUCAUUUAAAGAAAGCGUAAUAGCUCACUGGUCGAGUCGGCCUGCGCGGAAGAUGUAACGGGGCUAAACCAUGCACCGAAGCUGCGGCAGCGACACUUUAGUGUUGUUGGGUAGGGGAGCGUUCUGUAAGCCGUUGAAGGUGUCCUGUGAGGGGUGCUGGAGGUAUCAGAAGUGCGAAUGCUGACAUAAGUAACGAUAAAGCGGGUGAAAAGCCCGCUCGCCGGAAGACCAAGGGUUCCUGUCCAACGUUAAUCGGGGCAGGGUGAGUCGACCCCUAAGGCGAGGCCGAAAGGCGUAGUCGAUGGGAAACGGGUUAAUAUUCCCGUACUUGGUGUUACUGCGAAGGGGGGACGGAGAAGGCUAUGUUGGCCGGGCGACGGUAGUCCCGGUUUAAGCGUGUAGGUGUGUGUUCCAGGCAAAUCCGGUUCACUUUAACACUGAGGCGUGAUGACGAGGCACCACGGUGCUGAAGCAACAAAUGCCCUGCUUCCAGGAAAAGCCUCUAAGCAUCAGGUAACAUCAAAUCGUACCCCAAACCGACACAGGUGGUCAGGUAGAGAAUACCAAGGCGCUUGAGAGAACUCGGGUGAAGGAACUAGGCAAAAUGGUGCCGUAACUUCGGGAGAAGGCACGCUGACACGUAGGUGAAGUGAUUUACUCAUGGAGCUGAAGUCAGUCGAAGAUACCAGCUGGCUGCAACUGUUUAUUAAAAACACAGCACUGUGCAAACACGAAAGUGGACGUAUACGGUGUGACGCCUGCCCGGUGCCGGAAGGUUAAUUGAUGGGGUCAGCGCAAGCGAAGCUCCUGAUCGAAGCCCCGGUAAACGGCGGCCGUAACUAUAACGGUCCUAAGGUAGCGAAAUUCCUUGUCGGGUAAGUUCCGACCUGCACGAAUGGCGUAAUGAUGGCCAGGCUGUCUCCACCCGAGACUCAGUGAAAUUGAACUCGCUGUGAAGAUGCAGUGUACCCGCGGCAAGACGGAAAGACCCCGUGAACCUUUACUAUAGCUUGACACUGAACAUUGAGCCUUGAUGUGUAGGAUAGGUGGGAGGCUUUGAAGCGUGGACGCCAGUCUGCGUGGAGCCGACCUUGAAAUACCACCCUUUAAUGUUUGAUGUUCUAACGUGGACCCGUAAUCCGGGUUGCGGACAGUGUCUGGUGGGUAGUUUGACUGGGGCGGUCUCCUCCUAAAGAGUAACGGAGGAGCACGAAGGUUGGCUAAUCCUGGUCGGACAUCAGGAGGUUAGUGCAAUGGCAUAAGCCAGCUUGACUGCGAGCGUGACGGCGCGAGCAGGUGCGAAAGCAGGUCAUAGUGAUCCGGUGGUUCUGAAUGGAAGGGCCAUCGCUCAACGGAUAAAAGGUACUCCGGGGAUAACAGGCUGAUACCGCCCAAGAGUUCAUAUCGACGGCGGUGUUUGGCACCUCGAUGUCGGCUCAUCACAUCCUGGGGCUGAAGUAGGUCCCAAGGGUAUGGCUGUUCGCCAUUUAAAGUGGUACGCGAGCUGGGUUUAGAACGUCGUGAGACAGUUCGGUCCCUAUCUGCCGUGGGCGCUGGAAGACUGAGGGGGGCUGCUCCUAGUACGAGAGGACCGGAGUGGACGCAUCACUGGUGUUCGGGUUGUCAUGCCAAUGGCACUGCCCGGUAGCUAAAUGCGGAAAAGAUAAGUGCUGAAAGCAUCUAAGCACGAAACUUGCCCCGAGAUGAGUCUUCCCUGAGACUUUGAGUCUCCUGAAGGAACGUUAAAGACGAUGACGUUGAUAGGCCGGGUGUGUAAGCGCAGCGAUGCGUUGAGCUAACCGGUACUAAUGAACCGUGAGGCUUAACCUUACAACGCCGAAGGUGUUU